AUUGAACGCUGGCGGCAGGCCUAACACAUGCAAGUCGAGCGGAUGAAGGGAGCUUGCUCCUGGAUUCAGCGGCGGACGGGUGAGUAAUGCCUAGGAAUCUGCCUGGUAGUGGGGGAUAACGUCCGGAAACGGGCGCUAAUACCGCAUACGUCCUGCGGGAGAAAGUGGGGGAUCUUCGGACCUCACGCUAUCAGAUGAGCCUAGGUCGGAUUAGCUAGUUGGUGGGGUAAAGGCCUACCAAGGCGACGAUCCGUAACUGGUCUGAGAGGAUGAUCAGUCACACUAGAACUGAGACACGGUCCAGGCUCCUACGGGAGGCAGCAGUGGGGAAUAUUGGACAAUGGGCGAAAGCCUGAUCCAGCCAUGCCGCGUGUGUGAAGAAGGUCUUCGGAUUGUAAAGCACGUUAAGGUGGGAGGAAGGGCAGUAAGUUAAUACCUUGCUGUUUUGACGUUACCAACAGAAUAAGCACCGGCUAACUUCGUG
Molecule: ribosomal RNA, 484 nt
Filed under: uncultured bacterium
Lineage: Bacteria
Description: partial 16S ribosomal RNA
Rfam family: Bacterial small subunit ribosomal RNA
Source: RNAcentral